GCCGGGUGUGGUGGCUCACGCCUGUAAUCCCAGCUCUUUGGGAGGCUGAGGCGGGCGGAUCGCUUGAGCUCAGGAGUUUGAGACCAGCCUGGGCAACAUGGUGAAACCCCGUCUCUA
Non-coding RNA from Nomascus leucogenys (northern white-cheeked gibbon), 117 nucleotides. It matches the Rfam family "Metazoan signal recognition particle RNA". From Rfam's summary of the family: The signal recognition particle (SRP) is a universally conserved ribonucleoprotein. The record is from Rfam. NCBI's taxonomy places the organism in Eukaryota, Metazoa, Chordata, Mammalia, Primates, Hylobatidae.